CGGUAGUUUCUACUGGACUUCCAGAAGAUGGGCACAGGUGGUGGGACACGAAUACUGCUACGGAUAUCAAUACUAGCACUUGCCUUCAUACAGAUCAGAGUUCAAGCCCAGGAUGAUGAACAACAAACAAAAUCAAACUAUGUUUCUUCAUCCACCCUGCAGCGACAAAACAAUUUUCCACCAGCUUUGAAAUCCCAAGAAGUGAAAAUCAUUCCAACUUUUCAAAACACACUGAAAGUAAAGGGUG
This is a long non-coding RNA of Aquila chrysaetos chrysaetos, 247 nucleotides long. RefSeq lists it as uncharacterized. The transcript has 3 exons. The record is from RefSeq and is a predicted model, not a curated record. Lineage: Eukaryota; Metazoa; Chordata; Aves; Accipitriformes; Accipitridae.